GAUGAACGCUGGCGGCGUGCCUAAUACAUGCAAGUCGAGCGAACGGACGAGAAGCUUGCUUCUCUGAUGUUAGCGGCGGACGGGUGAGUAACACGUGGAUCACCUUCUUCUAAGACUGGGAUAACUUCGGGAAACAGGAGCUAAUACCGGCUGAUAUUUUGAACCGCAUGGUUCAAAAGUGAAAGACGGUCUUGCUGUCACUUAUAGAUGGAUCCGCGCUGCAUUAGCUAGUUGGUAAGGUAACGGCUUACCAAGGCAACGAUGCAUAUCCGACCUGAUAGGGUGACCGGCCACACUGGAACUGAGACACGGUCCAGACUCCUACGGGAGGCAGCAGUAGGGAAUCUUCCGCAAUGGGCGAAAGCCUGACGGAGCAACGCCGCGUGAGUGAUGAAGGUCUUCGGAUCGUAAAACUCUGUUAUUAGGAAAGAACAUAUGUGUAAGUAACUGUGCACAUCUUGACGGUACCUAAUCAGAAAGCCACGGCUAACCACGUG
Molecule: ribosomal RNA, 497 nt
Filed under: uncultured bacterium
Lineage: Bacteria
Description: partial 16S ribosomal RNA
Rfam family: Bacterial small subunit ribosomal RNA
Source: RNAcentral